This is a microRNA precursor of Ailuropoda melanoleuca (giant panda), 105 nucleotides long. Ensembl annotates it as microRNA let-7d. Lineage: Eukaryota; Metazoa; Chordata; Mammalia; Carnivora; Ursidae. The record is from Ensembl.
AAUGGGUUCCUAGGAAGAGGUAGUAGGUUGCAUAGUUUUAGGGCAGGGAUUUUGCCCACAAGGAGGUAACUAUACGACCUGCUGCCUUUCUUAGGGCCUUAUUAU